RNAcentral lists this long non-coding RNA (222 nucleotides) under Elaeis guineensis (African oil palm). RNAcentral describes it as "long non-coding RNA (EGUI_LNC010465)". The record is from RNAcentral. Lineage: Eukaryota; Viridiplantae; Streptophyta; Magnoliopsida; Arecales; Arecaceae.
AAGGGCUCCUUGAGACCCAUGUUGAUGUUCCAGUCAAACUCCAGUAGCCUCACUGCGAGCAGUACUGUCACCUCAGGUCAAAGGACCAGUCAUACAAUUGUAGCAUCGAAAAAUUCACUAACGAGUGAGCAGACAUCCAUAUGACUUCUCGUGUUGGUCACAUUUAGUGCUAGUUGUUCUCUAACAACCACCUACACUCUCGUUUCAGUGUCUCUAUACUGC